Molecule: ribosomal RNA, 440 nt
Filed under: uncultured bacterium
Lineage: Bacteria
Description: partial 16S ribosomal RNA
Rfam family: Bacterial small subunit ribosomal RNA
Source: RNAcentral
CCUACGGGCGGCAGCAGUAGGGAAUAUUGCUCAAUGGGGGAAACCCUGAAGUAGCAACGCCGCGUGGAGGAUGAAGGUUUUCGGAUUGUAAACUCCUUUUGUUAGAGAAGAUAAUGACGGUAUCUAACGAAUAAGCACCGGCUAACUCCGUGCCAGCAGCCGCGGUAAUACGGAGGGUGCAAGCGUUACUCGGAAUCACUGGGCGGAAAGAGCGCGUAGGCGGGAUAGCAAGUCAGAUGUGAAAUCCUAUGGCUUAACCAUAGAACUGCAUUUGAAACUGGUAUUCUAGAGUAUGGGAGAGGUAGGUGGAAUUCUUGGUGUAGGGGUAAAAUCCGUAGAGAUCAAGAGGAAUACUCAUUGCGAAGGCGACCUGCUAGAACAUAACUGACGCUGAUGCGCGAAAGCGUGGGGAGCAAACAGGAUUAGAUACCCGAGUAGUC